Triticum aestivum (bread wheat) is the source of this 1059-nucleotide long non-coding RNA. RefSeq lists it as uncharacterized. The transcript is spliced from 3 exons. The record is from RefSeq and is a predicted model, not a curated record. NCBI's taxonomy places the organism in Eukaryota, Viridiplantae, Streptophyta, Magnoliopsida, Poales, Poaceae.
CCUCCCCUCUUGUACGCCUCACAUGUGCAGAACCAUCUAGGGCAAAACCACACGCGCACAUGCCACCGCCACCGCCGCCCAUCCUCUCCCCCCGGCCCUCCAUCUCCAGCCAAGUCCUCUCUUUCGUGCCAGGGGCCUCCUCUAGUUUGAUGCAUCAUCGUGGGACGAGUCGUGGCGACGGUGACAGCGGCCGGCAUGCUGUGGGGCUACCUGGUGGGGGCGGCAGUGCUUGACCGCUCGUGGCAUGUGCUUGCGACAGCCGCUAAUGGUAGAGCACAAGACCUGCAGUGGGUAACCAUCUGCAAGAUCAACAUGAUCGUUCACGUGGUCGUCGCUGUCGCGAGAUUCAUUAUCAAGAUCCAUGUCGGCUCAUCUAACUCUGGCUUCACCCUCCUCCCGUUCCUCUUCGAAUUCGUGUGUUGAUUGAACCAGAAAUUAAGUUUGUCUAUUUCUGAACACCUAAUAUUUAUCUCUUGAGUUCACGUGCAAUGCAAUAUUUUAUUUAUGAGUUCUGAACCUGAAUUUUGUGCAUACAGCUGCAUACUUGCAUAUACUGUAGUGAACCACGCACAUUACUGGGAGAGGAGGGGAAGGAGAGGAUGCAUCCCGAAGACAGAGGCCGAGAAGCUUGCGGAGGCGGGGAGAUCGGGUACAAGGGCCUCCAUCUUCCUAGAUCCCGCCGUUCCGUGACGAACAUAUCCCUUGACGCCGAACGCUGCAGUUUGUGGUACACUCACAAUUCCAAACGAUAGGGAUAUCAUAAUUGCAAGUAAUAGUUGAAGGAAACCAUGUUCCAGCGGAUAAAAGUCUACAUAAGCUGGACUGAUGUUGUUAUUCCAGUCUUGAUUUUGUUUCUGCUGGCUUGACAGAUUAACUCCUUGGUGUACCAUAUAGGCAAGGGACGUAGGUAGUUGUCUUCCAAAUUCUGACAGUUACUCUGGGUUUUAAGGCUUGUUCGGUGUGGCAUGGUGCUACUAACUCCUGCAAUGGAUGCACAUGUAUCAUUCUGUACUGGGUACGUUCUUGGCAUCUGGUUGUGCUUUUGCUCUAUGGUAAAUG